Non-coding RNA from Paralichthys olivaceus (Japanese flounder), 837 nucleotides. The record is from RefSeq and is a predicted model, not a curated record. Lineage: Eukaryota; Metazoa; Chordata; Actinopteri; Pleuronectiformes; Paralichthyidae.
CUUAAUUUAUUCUUACUACUGGCCGAUUCAUUCAGCUGUUGCACAUCUGUAAACCACCCCAGUGUCAUACGCCUUUGUGUCUUCACUCCACAGAGGCCCAUGAAUGUGCGGUUCUGAGCUACAGAUUCACCGGAGAGAAGGAGGUGGAUCUAAUAUCGACCUUUGUACCAGAGAUGUUCAGGGGCCAAGGCGUCGCUGCACUGCUGUCAAAGGCUGCCAUGGACUUUCUAGUUGAAGAAAACCUCAAGGCUCGUGUCUCCUGUUGGUACAUAAAGAAAUACAUUGAGGAGCAUCCAGUGCAGCAGUUUAAAGACCUAGUCAUCACCUGACUGCUGCUGAUUUGUCCACCACUGCUACCUCAAAUCAACUAUAACCUCAUUGUACAACACUACAGAGGCCAAAUGGAGGCAUUAUAAUUGUAUCAGUAUUUGUUUUUCUCUGGAAUUGUAUGAAAUUUUAUAUGAUCAAGAUCCCUGUUCGGAUCCAGCAAGCUAAGGCACAGAAUGAUUCACGUUCACAAGGUUUUAGGAUGAAGUUGCAGCUUUAUAAUAAUUUUAUUUUCAUGUGUUUUUGUUAAUCUGAAACUAUCAAAUUGAUUCCUCUUUUUAAUCAUGCAGUCUUAAUAUAUUAUUUGCAACAUUUGUUAAUUCUUCAUUGUUGGGAAAAAACAAAGUAUCAAGGUAUAAUGGGUAGAUAUUGAUGAUGUUGGGUUAUUUUUAUAGUAACAUUAUGUGUUUAUUGACAAGACGUGAUCUGUCUAUCAGCGAGUAAGAGACCAUGAACAAGAACUUGUUAAGCAACUUGUUUACCAUUGAAAUUAAAAUGAUGAUUUUGACA